RNAcentral lists this long non-coding RNA (273 nucleotides) under Ananas comosus (pineapple). RNAcentral describes it as "long non-coding RNA (ACOM_LNC012931)". The record is from RNAcentral. Lineage: Eukaryota; Viridiplantae; Streptophyta; Magnoliopsida; Poales; Bromeliaceae.
AAAAAUGGUAAGACAAAUAAAAAAAAAAUAAACAGGUGAAAUAUAAAAUUAUUUUUAAAACAAAUUUUAUUUAAAUUAUUUGAAUUUUUUGAAUUUUAAAUUAUAAAAGUUAAUUUGCGUAAAAAAUCUAUCGAUUUUGAUAAUUUACAAAAAUAUGCCACUAUUUUAGAUUUUGCAAAUUCAGUCCGAAUUUUCAAAAAACUGACAAAGAUACUAUUAUUCUCUUUUCUCUCUCCUCUUUUUUCUUUUGUUCUCCGACUCUCCUCCAGCGCC